AUUGAACGCUGGCGGCAUGCCUUACACAUGCAAGUCGAACGGCAGCACGGGAGCAAUCCUGGUGGCGAGUGGCGAACGGGUGAGUAAUACAUCGGAACGUGCCCAAUCGUGGGGGAUAACGCAGCGAAAGCUGUGCUAAUACCGCAUACGAUCUACGGAUGAAAGCAGGGGAUCGCAAGACCUUGCGCGAAUGGAGCGGCCGAUGGCAGAUUAGGUAGUUGGUGAGGUAAAGGCUCACCAAGCCGUCGAUCUGUAGCUGGUCUGAGAGGACGACCAGCCACACUGGGACUGAGACACGGCCCAGACUCCUACGGGAGGCAGCAGUGGGGAAUUUUGGACAAUGGGCGAAAGCCUGAUCCAGCCAUGCCGCGUGCAGGAUGAAGGCCUUCGGGUUGUAAACUGCUUUUGUACGGAACGAAACGGCCUUUUCUAAUAAAGAGGGCUAAUGACGGUACCGUAAGAAUAAGCACCGGCUAACUACGUGCCAGCAGCCGCGGUAAUACGUAGGGUGCAAGCGUUAAUCGGAAUUACUGGGCGUAAAGCGUGCGCAGGCGGUUAUGUAAGACAGUUGUGAAAUCCCCGGGCUCAACCUGGGAACUGCAUCUGUGACUGCAUAGCUAGAGUACGGUAGAGGGGGAUGGAAUCCCGCGUGUAGCAGUGAAAUGCGUAGAUAUGCGGAGGAACACCGAUGGCGAAGGCAAUCCCCUGGACCUGUACUGACGCUCAUGCACGAAAGCGUGGGGAGCAAACGGG
This 753-nucleotide ribosomal RNA is filed under the name uncultured Comamonadaceae bacterium. RNAcentral describes it as "bacterial SSU rRNA". It matches the Rfam family "Bacterial small subunit ribosomal RNA", at positions 28 to 776 of the family's 1533-position model. The record is from RNAcentral. Lineage: Bacteria; Pseudomonadati; Pseudomonadota; Betaproteobacteria; Burkholderiales; Comamonadaceae.